RNAcentral lists this ribosomal RNA (253 nucleotides) under uncultured bacterium. RNAcentral's name for it is "partial 16S ribosomal RNA". It matches the Rfam family "Bacterial small subunit ribosomal RNA", at positions 524 to 776 of the family's 1533-position model. The record is from RNAcentral.
UACGUAGGGUGCAAGCGUUGUCCGGAAUUAUUGGGCGUAAAGAGCUCGUAGGCGGUCUGUCGCGUCUGCUGUGAAAACUCGGGGCUUAACCCCGGGCCUGCAGUGGGUACGGGCAGACUAGAGUGCGGUAGGGGAGACUGGAAUUCCUGGUGUAGCGGUGAAAUGCGCAGAUAUCAGGAGGAACACCGGUGGCGAAGGCGGGUCUCUAGUACGGUACUGACGCUGAGACGCGAAAGCGUGGGGAGCGAACAGG